Molecule: non-coding RNA, 232 nt
Organism: Cinara cedri
Lineage: Eukaryota; Metazoa; Arthropoda; Insecta; Hemiptera; Aphididae
Source: the annotation of a GenBank genome assembly
UUAGUCACUUCAUAUGUCAUUCUAUAAUAAUUAUUGCCUCAUUUCAACUUAAUGGCACUCACUCAUCUGUCCAAUUCUUUUUGCUUUUGCAUAAAUUGAACAUAACACAAUGUAAUUGUUUGCAUGUUUUAUUAAUUUUGAUGGUAUGUUAUCCAUAUCAGAUGAUACCAGUUCUUUUUAGCUGCCCUUUUGUAUAAUUCUUUAUGUAUUACUGAAUUGAACAAAUUAAAAU